UACGAGAGGCCCGAGCGUUAGGCGGAAUCACUGGGCUUAAAGGGUGCGUAGGCGGAUCGGCAGGCGUCUUGUGAAAUCCCCGGGCUCAACCCGGGAAUCGCAGGGCGAACCGCCGGUCUUGAGGCAGGUAUGGGUCGCUGGAACGUUCGGUGGAGCGGUGAAAUGCGUAGAUAUCGAACGGAACGCCAGAGGUGAAGACGAGCGACUGGGCCUGAUCUGACGCUGAGGCACGAAAGCGUGGGGAGCAAACAGG
RNAcentral lists this non-coding RNA (253 nucleotides) under uncultured bacterium. RNAcentral describes it as "partial 16S ribosomal RNA". It matches the Rfam family "Bacterial small subunit ribosomal RNA", at positions 524 to 776 of the family's 1533-position model. RNAcentral also lists the same sequence under 1 other name. The record is from RNAcentral.